CGCCGGUUAGCUAACUUGUCGGUGCCACUGGUGCACCGUCGUUUUCCUUUUCUUUCUCGGAGCGUUUUCUCUGCAAUGAGGUUACUUUUAGUUCUGUUGUUCGUUUGUGCUUUCUUUCUCUCGCUCUCCGUCACCGAAUCCGACUCAGCGGUAGAGAUGAAUGCAACAACUGAGUCGAACGCCACGCGUUCGAGAUCCAGAGAGGACAGUUUCGCUGACAUGAUUGAUCGGGCUUUGGAGAAGGAGUUCAACGAGACCGACCAGAAUGAAUGUCCGUACUAGAUCUGAGCUUUCCUCUCUUGCUCUUUGUUUCUAUGGGCAUCCGCAUUUCGGUUUUUUUUUUU
This 344-nucleotide unclassified non-coding RNA is filed under the name Hevea brasiliensis (rubber tree). The record is from RNAcentral. Lineage: Eukaryota; Viridiplantae; Streptophyta; Magnoliopsida; Malpighiales; Euphorbiaceae.